Molecule: ribosomal RNA, 497 nt
Filed under: uncultured bacterium
Lineage: Bacteria
Description: partial 16S ribosomal RNA
Rfam family: Bacterial small subunit ribosomal RNA
Source: RNAcentral
GAUGAACGCUGGCGGCGUGCCUAAUACAUGCAAGUCGAGCGAACAGACGAGGAGCUUGCUCCUCUGACGUUAGCGGCGGACGGGUGAGUAACACGUGGAUAACCUACCUAUAAGACUGGGAUAACUUCGGGAAACCGGAGCUAAUACCGGAUAAUAUAUUGAACCGCAUGGUUCAAUAGUGAAAGACGGUUUUGCUGUCACUUAUAGAUGGAUCCGCGCCGCAUUAGAUAGUUGGUAAGGUAACGGCUUACCAAGGCAACGAUGCGUAGCCGACCUGAGAGGGUGAUCGGCCACACUGGAACUUAGACACGGUCCAGACUCCUACGGGAGGCAGCAGUAGGGAAUCUUCCGGAAUGGGCGGAAGCCUGACGGAGCAACGCCGCGUGAGUGAUGAAGGUCUUCGGAUCGUAAAACUCUGUUAUUAGGGAAGAACAAAUGUGUAAGUAACUAUGCACGUCUUGACGGUACCUAAUCAGAAAGCCACGGCUAACUACGUG